Molecule: ribosomal RNA, 402 nt
Filed under: bacterium
Lineage: Bacteria
Description: partial 16S ribosomal RNA
Rfam family: Bacterial small subunit ribosomal RNA
Source: RNAcentral
UGGGGAAUUUUGCACAAUGGGGGAAACCCUGAUGCAGCGACGCCGCGUGAUUUAGAAGGCCUUCGGGUUGUAAAAAUCUUUUCUAUGGGAAGAAAAUGACAGUACCAUAGGAAUAAGGACCGGCUAAUUACGUGCCAGCAGCCGCGGUAAUACGUAAGGUCCGAGCGUUGUCCGGAAUCAUUGGGCGUAAAGGGUACGUAGGCAGGUAAGCAAGUUAGAAGUUAAAUCCUAUAGGUCAACUAUAGUAAGCUUUUAAAACUGCUCAUCUUGAGGUAUGGAAGGGAAAGUGGAAUUCCUAGUGUAGCGGUGAAAUGCGCAGAUAUUAGAAGGAGUACCGGUGGCGAAGGCGAGUUGCUGGCCAUAACCUGACGCUGAGGUACGAAAGCGUGGGUAGCAAACAGG